Molecule: ribosomal RNA, 460 nt
Filed under: uncultured bacterium
Lineage: Bacteria
Description: partial 16S ribosomal RNA
Rfam family: Bacterial small subunit ribosomal RNA
Source: RNAcentral
CCUACGGGAGGCUGCAGUGAGGAAUAUUGGUCAAUGGGCUUACGCCUGAACCAGCCAAGUCGCGUGAGGGAAGACUGCCCUAUGGGUUGUAAACCUCUUUUGUCAGGGAGCAAUUGGCGCUACGUGUAGCGUUAUCGAGAGUACCUGAAGAAAAAGCAUCGGCUAACUCCGUGCCAGCAGCCGCGGUAAUACGGAGGAUGCGAGCGUUAUCCGGAUUUAUUGGGUUUAAAGGGUGCGUAGGCGGAAUGCCAAGUCAGCGGUAAAAUCGCGGGGCUCAACCUCGCUCCGCCGUUGAAACUGGCGGUCUUGAGUGGGCGAGAAGUAUGCGGAAUGCGUGGUGUAGCGGUGAAAUGCAUAGAGAUCACGCAGAACUCCGAUUGCGAAGGCAGCAUACCGGCGCCCAACUGACGCUGAAGCACGAAAGCGUGGGUAUCGAACAGGAUUAGAUACCCGAGUAGUC